RNAcentral lists this long non-coding RNA (653 nucleotides) under Phoenix dactylifera (date palm). RNAcentral's name for it is "long non-coding RNA (PDAC_LNC003580)". Lineage: Eukaryota; Viridiplantae; Streptophyta; Magnoliopsida; Arecales; Arecaceae. The record is from RNAcentral.
UUUCAUGAAUAAAAUUUUUAAUUAAAUUGAAAAACGUCAUUAACCACAAAACUAUUUUCUUUCCUGCGUUGGUUUAUGGUACCUGAUCACAAGAGCAAAAUAUUCAUGACAAAAGAUUGUUUUUUUUUUUUCAUCAAACAAGCAACUAAUGAUACAAGAACUUUUCUCCUCGAACUUUAUAGGUAGAAAACAUGAAGUGGUACCAAACAAGAAAGAUAAGAAGACAAAAAGACUACUUGAAAUAGAUCGAGGGCCCGCCUGAGUUGGGAUCCCACGUCCCAGCCUCCCUCAUGUAUUCCAAAUACCUCAAGAACUCGGGCUUCGUCACAGCAUCCUUAGACGGCGCUUCAAGAAGUUUGAUCACAGGGUGAGCUUUUAUGUCCUUAUGGCUUGAUGUCUUCGUUUUGGUCGUGGCGGCCUUCGCUUUGCUCUUCUCGCCGAAGUUGAAGGAGAACUGCUGGGAGAGGAGUCGGCGGUACCCUCGACGGUUCUUCUGAUGGCCCGAAGCUUCAGACAUUGCUGUGGAGGAAGAAAAGGUAAGGGGAGUGGGUUGGCGUGCUUAGUCUUCUUUGGGUUGUGAAAAUGGUGAAGAAUGCAAGUACAUGUUGUUGAAGAGUUUGGAAUUUGUAGGCUUGGAUUUUGUGGAAAUGGUC